CAACCCUCAAGCUCUGCUUGGUAUUGGGCCUCACCCGUCAGGGCGUGCCUUGAAAUCAGUGGCGGUGCCAUCUGGCUCUAAGCGUAGUAAUUUUUCUCGCUAUAGGGUCCUAUGGAUGCUUGCCAGCAACCCCAAUUUUUCUAU
Molecule: unclassified non-coding RNA, 144 nt
Filed under: uncultured Cryptosporiopsis
Lineage: Eukaryota; Fungi; Ascomycota; Leotiomycetes; Helotiales; Dermateaceae
Description: sequence contains ITS2
Source: RNAcentral